UACGGGGGGGGCAAGCGUUGUUCGGAAUUACUGGGCGUAAAGGGCUCGUAGGUGGCCAACUAAGUCAGACGUGAAAUCCCUCAGCUUAACUGGGGAACUGCGUCUGAUACUGGAUGGCUUGAGUUCGGGAGAGGAGAGUGGAAUUCCCAGUGUAGAGGUGAAAUUCGUAGAUAUUGGGAAGAACACCGGUGGCGAAGGCGGCGCUCUGGACAGAGACUGACGCUGAGGCGCGAAAGCGUGGGGAGCAAACAGG
Molecule: ribosomal RNA, 253 nt
Filed under: uncultured bacterium
Lineage: Bacteria
Description: partial 16S ribosomal RNA
Rfam family: Bacterial small subunit ribosomal RNA
Source: RNAcentral